This is a non-coding RNA of Hordeum vulgare subsp. vulgare (domesticated barley), 136 nucleotides long. NCBI's taxonomy places the organism in Eukaryota, Viridiplantae, Streptophyta, Magnoliopsida, Poales, Poaceae. The record is from Rfam.
AUAAUACUCCCUCCGUCCUAAAUUACUUGUCUUAGAUUUAUAUAUAUAUAUUAUGUAUUUAGACAUGUUUUAGUGUUAGAUACAUCCGUAUCUAGAUAAAUCUAACACAAGUAAUUUGGAAUAGAGGGAGUAUCUA